AUCUGGGCGGCGAAAUUCAGAAUGACUGGCCGGCUUCGGCAUGUCCGGUCAUUUGAUAUUUUCGUCGCCGUGUCAGACGUCGCGAUCCGUUCGUUGUCGGUCCUUGCUCGGAGGAGUUGCAAUCGAGUUUGUUGUGGUCGCGUUUCGGCGUGUCAUACGGCAAAGAUGCGAAUCUCUGGCUGACAACGGACAGUAAGCAGUGAUGACUGAUGCCGUGUCGUGUGCGCGGUGUUUGCAUCGAUCAGCGACGAUUUCUUCGGGCCUCUUUCCGACCCGUCUUGAAACACGGACCAAGGAGUCUAACAUGCGCGCGAGUCGCGGGGUAUCGAGCGUACUACGGUGCGCUCGGCUCGUUAUGAAACCCGUAUGUUGAAGGCGUAAUGAAAGUGAAUGGGGAAGAUGGUGUUCCGAGUAUACGUACCGUGAGAAUUCGCGGCCGGACACCCGCAUUCCCGGGGCGUCUCAAGGUUCGUCGUGAAUGCGGAUCGUCGUCUUUCGGGGCGGUGAUCGGUUUGCGAUGGUCCGA
Molecule: ribosomal RNA, 526 nt
Filed under: Andaspis crawii
Lineage: Eukaryota; Metazoa; Arthropoda; Insecta; Hemiptera; Diaspididae
Description: partial 28S ribosomal RNA
Source: RNAcentral